RNAcentral lists this ribosomal RNA (495 nucleotides) under Dietzia maris. RNAcentral's name for it is "bacterial SSU rRNA". It matches the Rfam family "Bacterial small subunit ribosomal RNA", at positions 371 to 877 of the family's 1533-position model. The record is from RNAcentral. Lineage: Bacteria; Bacillati; Actinomycetota; Actinomycetes; Mycobacteriales; Dietziaceae.
AUGGGCGAAAGCCUGAUGCAGCGACGCCGCGUGGGGGAUGACGGUCUUCGGAUUGUAAACCCCUUUCAGUAGGGACGAAGCGCAAGUGACGGUACCUGCAGAAGAAGCACCGGCUAACUACGUGCCAGCAGCCGCGGUAAUACGUAGGGUGCGAGCGUUGUCCGGAAUUACUGGGCGUAAAGAGCUCGUAGGCGGUUUGUCACGUCGUCUGUGAAAUCCCUCGGCUUAACCGGGGGCGUGCAGGCGAUACGGGCAGACUUGAGUACUACAGGGGAGACUGGAAUUCCUGGUGUAGCGGUGAAAUGCGCAGAUAUCAGGAGGAACACCGGUGGCGAAGGCGGGUCUCUGGGUAGUAACUGACGCUGAGGAGCGAAAGCAUGGGUAGCGAACAGGAUUAGAUACCCUGGUAGUCCAUGCCGUAAACGGUGGGCGCUAGGUGUGGGGUCCUUCCACGGACUCCGUGCCGUACCUAACGCAUUAAGCGCCCCGCCUGGG